GAUGAACGCUAGCGGCAGGCCUAACACAUGCAAGUCGAGGGGCAGCAUAAAACAAGCUUGCUUGUUUGGUGGCGACCGGCGCACGGGUGCGUAACGCGUAUGCAACCUACCCUGUACUGGGGGAUAGCCCGGAGAAAUUCGGAUUAAGACCCCAUAGCACUUAAGAAUGGCAUCAUUCAUAAGUUAAAGGUUACGGUACAGGAUGGGCAUGCGUCCCAUUAGCUAGAUGGUAAGGUAACGGCUUACCAUGGCAACGAUGGGUAGGGGGCCUGAGAGGGUGGUCCCCCACACUGGUACUGAGACACGGACCAGACUCCUACGGGAGGCAGCAGUGAGGAAUAUUGGUCAAUGGGCGCAAGCCUGAACCAGCCAUGCCGCGUGCAGGAAGACGGUCCUAUGGAUUGUAAACUGCUUUUAUUGGGAAUAAACCUAUUUACGUGUAGAUAGCUGAAGGUACCAAAUGAAUAAGCACCGGCUAACUCCGUG
RNAcentral lists this ribosomal RNA (486 nucleotides) under uncultured bacterium. Its description in RNAcentral is "bacterial SSU rRNA". It matches the Rfam family "Bacterial small subunit ribosomal RNA", at positions 28 to 507 of the family's 1533-position model. The record is from RNAcentral.